Molecule: ribosomal RNA, 496 nt
Filed under: uncultured Glomeromycotina
Lineage: Eukaryota; Fungi; Glomeromycota
Description: partial small subunit ribosomal RNA
Rfam family: Eukaryotic small subunit ribosomal RNA
Source: RNAcentral
CCAAUAGCGUAUAUUAAAGUUGUUGCAGUUAAAAAGCUCGUAGUUGAAUUUCGGGGUUCUAUCGUUGGUCGGGCUAUUGUCUGUACUGGCGUGUAGAAUUUCUACCUUCUGGGGAACUAUCAUGUUAUUUAUUUAGCGUGGUAGGAAACCAGGACCUUUACCUUGAAAAAAUUAGAGUGUUCAAAGCAGGCUUAUGUCUGAAUACAUUAGCAUGGAAUAAUAAAAUAGGACGGUGGUCCUGUUUUGUUGGUUUCUGAAUCACCGUAAUGAUUAAUAGGGAUAGUUGGGGGCAUUAGUAUUCAAUUGUCAGAGGUGAAAUUCUUGGAUUUAUUGAAGACUAACUACUGCGAAAGCAUUUGCCAAGGAUGUUUUCAUUAAUCAAGAACGAAAGUUAGGGGAUCGAAGACGAUCAGAUACCGUCGUAGUCUUAACCAUAAACUAUGCCGACUAGGGAUCGGACGAUGUUAACUUUUCUUGACUCGUUCGGCGCCUUACG